This 450-nucleotide ribosomal RNA is filed under the name uncultured bacterium. RNAcentral describes it as "partial 16S ribosomal RNA". It matches the Rfam family "Bacterial small subunit ribosomal RNA", at positions 338 to 795 of the family's 1533-position model. The record is from RNAcentral.
CCUACGGGUGGCAGCAGUGGGGAAUUUUUCGCAAUGGGCGCAAGCCUGACGAAGCAACGCCGCGUGGAGGAUGAAGGUCUUCGGAUUGUAAACUCCUGUCGACCGGGACGAAUGCACCCGACCUAAUACGUCGGAGUGUUGACGGUACCGGUGGAGGAAGCCACGGCUAACUCUGUGCCAGCAGCCGCGGUAAUACAGAGGUGGCAAGCGUUGUUCGGAGUUAGCGGGGGCAAAGGGCGCGUAGGCGGGUGAAAGCCCUCGGCUUAACUGAGGAUCUGCACGGGAUACUGCGAGGCUUGAGUUCGGGAGAGGAAAGCGGAAUUCCGGGUGUAGCGGUGAAAUGCGUAGAUAUCCGGAGGAACACCAGUGGCGAAGGCGGCUUUCUGGACCGACACUGACGCUGAGGCGCGAAAGCUAGGGGAGCAAACGGGAUUAGAUACCCUUGUAGUC